GGCCCUAUGGUGUAAUGGUUAGCACUCUGGACUCUGAAUCCAGCGAUCCGAGUUCAAAUCUCGGUAGGACCU
Molecule: transfer RNA, 72 nt
Filed under: Saccoglossus kowalevskii
Lineage: Eukaryota; Metazoa; Hemichordata; Enteropneusta; Harrimaniidae
Description: tRNA-Gln
Rfam family: tRNA
About the family: Transfer RNA (tRNA) molecules are approximately 80 nucleotides in length.
Source: RNAcentral